CCGGCACGGGUGAGUAACACGUAUCCAACCUGCCGUCUACUCUUGGCCAGCCUUCUGAAAGGACGAUUAAUCCAGGAUGGCAUCAUGAGUUCACAUGUCCGCAUGAUUAAAGGUAUUUUCCGGUAGACGAUGGGGAUGCGUUCCAUUAGAUAGUAGGCGGGGUAACGGCCCACCUAGUCAACGAUGGAUAGGGGUUCUGAGAGGAAGGUCCCCCACAUUGGAACUGAGACACGGUCCAA
RNAcentral lists this ribosomal RNA (239 nucleotides) under uncultured bacterium. RNAcentral's name for it is "partial 16S ribosomal RNA". It matches the Rfam family "Bacterial small subunit ribosomal RNA", at positions 100 to 334 of the family's 1533-position model. The record is from RNAcentral.